Molecule: long non-coding RNA, 749 nt
Organism: Cephus cinctus (wheat stem sawfly)
Lineage: Eukaryota; Metazoa; Arthropoda; Insecta; Hymenoptera; Cephidae
Exons: 5
Source: RefSeq, a predicted model, not a curated record
AUUAAGUGGAGUGUUUUCCUUUAUUAAGCUUCAACAGUUAACUGUCACGGGGAAGAGUGACUUUAAACUGAAGUAAAACAAGCAUCGGAAGAAGACAAACAUUACUAAUGGUGGACAUUCCAAUUGUGUGAUUACCCAGUAAAAUCAACCUUGGAUCAUUCAUGCUGAUACUACCGAGAAAGAGGAACACCUGAAAUAUCCGAAAUCACAGAUUCACGUAAUCCACGAGCUGUCAUUAUUAUUGAUCUGCACUGUGACUCCCAGAAUACGGACAGGUAGCCCUGGAGGAAUAUAAUGUAUUCGUAGGACGUCGCUUCGGAGAAGGUUACGUACACGUUCAGGAAGCUUGAACGAAGUAUAAAUGGCAGAGCCAACGCAUACGAGGAAGAAAAUUCGUCGAAAGUCGUGAAGAGUCGAAAGUUUCCGUAAAAGAGAACCGAAGAGGAGCGAACGUGUAUAACGAUCUGACUUAUUCAUCCAAAUGGAAUUCAUAAUAGAGCACACCUCGACAAAUUUGUACACCGCAUUCUCGUUGCCUAACGUUCUGUUUGAUUAAUGCCAGAAUGGGGGGUGAGGGAUAAGAAAAAGCUAUUUAUAAUAAUGAGGUCUAAUGAGAUUGCCUUGAAUUCGUUGUCUUGCCCGUCAGUGAGUAAGUAUAUACAUAUAGGUCCGAAAAACGAAAACGACCCGCGUGCAUAAUGAGGUAAUGGAAAAAACGUACUGUAUUAAAAAAAAAAAAAUUAUGAAAA